This 788-nucleotide long non-coding RNA is filed under the name Mus musculus (house mouse). RNAcentral describes it as "RIKEN cDNA 1700087I21 gene". The record is from RNAcentral. Lineage: Eukaryota; Metazoa; Chordata; Mammalia; Rodentia; Muridae.
AGCUUGGAAUCCAUUAAAAUACAUUUUGCUCUAUUACACCCCAUGCCUGUAAUCUCACAUCUUGAAGACAGAGGCAGGAUGACUAUAAUUUUGAGGCCAGCCUGGGCUACACAGUGAAUGCUUUCGAAAAUGUGGUGUCUCGGUGUCUGCUGUUUCUGUUAAUCCUGAAGAUGCUCACCCGUGAGACUGAAUCAGAAGCCUGUCCCUGCCCUCACUCAGAGGAUGAGUCACACGGUGUGGGCGAGGUUUGGAGAUGGAAGCCAGCUCUGCUCUCUCCGUUGGUAACCAAGGCAAAGGCAUCUUGCUGAGAGAAUGCUUGCAAGUGCAUAGAAAGCUAAUCCCACGGUCAGGCCUGUGAAUGUUGGUUACCACUGUUGGCUAUCCUUUGCUUAAGUUUAAGUCACGGCAUCUUCAGAAUCACAUAGUUCCAAGAUACCAAGGUACUCUGUCUUCUGGUCCACAUUCCUUUGUCAUUGAACAAUUGCAUACACUGAACAGGCUUUGGGUAAAUGAGGGAAGGACAGGGGACCAAGAGAGAAUUUGAGUGCUUGGGAAAUAGCAUUGAACAGUAAGUCAGAAGGUGAGGAGGCCUCUAGAGGUGUACCUUUAAAUUCCAGAUUUGUGUUUCACUGUGUAGGUUUUGGCAGGUUGUCAAAGGCAUUUGAGUUUCCCUCAUUUCCAAUAUACCUUAAAGUGUCUCUUUCAUGGAAAACACCUAGCACAGAGUAUCCGGGUUGCUCUCAGUGAUUGGCAAGUGACAUCUUUUUCUACUAUGUUAAAUGCUCACC